Long non-coding RNA from Lutra lutra (Eurasian river otter), 1894 nucleotides. RefSeq lists it as uncharacterized. The record is from RefSeq and is a predicted model, not a curated record. The transcript is spliced from 2 exons. Lineage: Eukaryota; Metazoa; Chordata; Mammalia; Carnivora; Mustelidae.
UUCCUCGUCACCUUUUGUUGCCAAAGGAAAAGUGUUCACAAUUGAGCGACUAAAUAGAAAGAGCCUCGUUCCAGAAACAUAGAGGUGUCCCCCAUAACACACGAAAUAUUUCUGACUCUCUUUUCUGAGCCAGGCCACGGCAGGGAGAGUAAACAGGAGCUGGUAGUUUGGACGAGGCUCUGCCUCCAGGAGCAUGUCCUCCCCCUACUGCAGUCACGAUUUCCAGAAGAUACCAUAUAGUCCAAGAUGUCCAAACACUUCCCUGGCCAUGCUUCAGGCCAGGAUGACUGUCCUCCCACCAGGGGACAGAUCCCUGCAGAGGCCCAGCAGCUCACCUGACACCCCCUAUUAUUACUGCUACCUGAUCCCUCAGUGUUCCUCUCUCCGCCUCACAAGAUUGCCCAACAUCAUUUGUUACCUGCGUCAUCUUUGAACAUUCUCAUGUCCUUUAGCACGCAGCUGUGUCUUUGGAGUCUGCCUCUUUACCCGUAUCACCCUCUGGGCCCUUGCCCCUGGCUUGGGCGCAGGGUGCAGAUUCUGACUCAUUCCUUGUCUACCGUAUCUUGCCACAGAUGAUCAGCCCUGCUCCUGGAGAACAUUGUGGCCAAAACUGCAGUCUUAGAAAAGAGAUUGGAGACAAAUUCAUUAAGGACUUCCUACCAUUUAUUAAAAGUUGAUCAACGGUGAAGGGUCCGUGAUCAAAGGAACGAGACUGAUGCAAAGCGAAAGUCAAGCAAAGCUUUAUUUCGUGCCAAGCAUUGAAAAUCGUGCCAAGCAUUGAAAACCGACUGGUAGGGGCCGUCUCUUACGAAGAGACAACGACGACGACCCCGACAAGGCGGCUCCCAAGAAGUCCACUCCGGACAAGGCCACUCUGGAUGAGGCCUCUCCCCGACGAGGCCGCUCCCCAGAUGAGGCCACUCCCGACGGGGCCGUUCCCAGGAGGAGGCGGCUCCAGACGAGGCCGCUGCCGAUGAGGUCGCUCCCCGGACAGGGCUCCCCGGAAUGAGGCUGCUGGCCGCGAGGCUGCAGGCGGUGAGGCCAUUGGCCGGGGUGCCGCUGCCUCUGACUAUGAUGACCAGGACAACCACGACACUGCGACUCUCCCCCGAAGACCACGCUAACCGCUAUUCCAACUCCUCCUCAUACUCCUACUCCUCCCCAGCCUCACAGACUAAUCUUUAUAGAGGUGGUUGAGCCCGGCCCACACACAGGUGGCCAAUGGGAUUUCAAGUCACCACAGUAAAUAUAUGCGCGCCCCACUGAUUGGAUGUUUCCAUCCGGCCUGGCCCGCCCCUAUAUCCGGGGUUUGCAACUAAGUUCCUCUGGCUAACCAGGCCCUUACAUUACUGGGAGGACGGUCCCAUCCGCGUCAGCACUGCGCCUGCUCCAGACGCCCCGGAACGUUCCGCUGCUGUGGCAGUGCGGCUGGAAUCCGACUCGCCACCUGCAAGGUCAUGUGCGGGACCCCCGGAGCACCAGCGGACCCAUCUCUUACACAGGCUGACCGAUUUCCCCUGGUGUUCAGAGUCUGUUUUUGUCUAGCACCAUUUGAAAUCGGUUAUGAUGUAGGGGGAAAAACGGUGGCCCCGAAGCCUCGUGCGGGCUCUGGGGAGCCACCGCCUGCGGUUUCCUGGAGGACCCACAGGCAGAGAGUGCGCAAGGACCACCGCGCGCCGUUUCCCCUAACUUCUUUAACUGCAUUUAUGAUCCCUUACUGCAGAGGUAAGAGAGAACCGAAUGUGUUUUGAGAAAUGGCUGUGCUGUAUCUGGUGUCCGGGUUGCAUGGUGCUGGAAGGUGGUAGGUGCCGCCCAUGCGGUCAGUGGUUGCUGUUGAAUUCUCCUUCUGUGACGGGUCUGUUGGUGCUCCUGCCUGAAUAAAUAUUUCCCUCUA